This 207-nucleotide unclassified non-coding RNA is filed under the name Hevea brasiliensis (rubber tree). The record is from RNAcentral. Lineage: Eukaryota; Viridiplantae; Streptophyta; Magnoliopsida; Malpighiales; Euphorbiaceae.
AAGAAAUCUCAUCUAUGGUGCUUAUAAAGAUGAAGGAAAUUGCUGAGGCUUUCCUUGGAUCAACUGUAAAGAAUGCUGUGGUAACCGUACCUGCAUACUUCAAUGACUCGCAUCGUCAGGCUACUAAGGAUGCUGGCGUCAUUGCUGGUCUAAAUGUCAUACGUAUUAUCAAUGAGCCUACGGCUGCUGCCAUUGCUUAUGGCCUGG